RNAcentral lists this transfer RNA (68 nucleotides) under Ictidomys tridecemlineatus (thirteen-lined ground squirrel). Its description in RNAcentral is "Spermophilus tridecemlineatus (thirteen-lined ground squirrel) tRNA". It matches the Rfam family "tRNA". Rfam says of the family: Transfer RNA (tRNA) molecules are approximately 80 nucleotides in length. Lineage: Eukaryota; Metazoa; Chordata; Mammalia; Rodentia; Sciuridae. The record is from Rfam by way of RNAcentral.
GGGGCUGUAGCUCAGUGGUAGAGCACCCACCUCGCACAUGUGAGGCACUGGUUUGAUCCUCAGCACCA